This is a small nucleolar RNA of Dendrobium catenatum, 107 nucleotides long. The record is from RefSeq and is a predicted model, not a curated record. Lineage: Eukaryota; Viridiplantae; Streptophyta; Magnoliopsida; Asparagales; Orchidaceae.
AAAUAUGGUGAGAGUAUUUCCUAAGAAUUUCCUUAAAUCUCUCCCAACUAUCAUAAAUGGUUUCUCCUUCAAACUGGAUAAAAAAAAGUGAUAUCAUUUUUAUGUUU